UUCCUACGGGAAGCAGCAGUGGGGAAUAUUGCACAAUGGGCGAAAGCCUGAUGCAGCGACGCCGCGUGAGGGAUGACGGCCUUCGGGUUGUAAACCUCUUUCAGCAGGGAAGAAGCGAAAGUGACGGUACCUGCAGAAGAAGCGCCGGCUAACUACGUGCCAGCAGCCGCGGUAAUACGUAGGGCGCGAGCGUUGUCCGGAAUUAUUGGGCGUAAAGAGCUCGUAGGCGGCUUGUCGCGUCGGUUGUGAAAGCCCGGGGCUUAACCCCGGGUCUGCAGUCGAUACGGGCAGGCUAGAGUUCGGUAGGGGAGAUCGGAAUUCCUGGUGUAGCGGUGAAAUGCGCAGAUAUCAGGAGGAACACCGGUGGCGAAGGCGGAUCUCUGGGCCGAUACUGACGCUGAGGAGCGAAAGCGUGGGGAGCGAACAGGAUUAGAUACCCUGGUAGUCCACGCCGUAAACGUUGGGCGCUAGGUGUGGGCAGCGUCCACGUUUCCGUG
RNAcentral lists this ribosomal RNA (497 nucleotides) under uncultured Streptomyces sp. Its description in RNAcentral is "bacterial SSU rRNA". It matches the Rfam family "Bacterial small subunit ribosomal RNA", at positions 336 to 845 of the family's 1533-position model. The record is from RNAcentral. Lineage: Bacteria; Bacillati; Actinomycetota; Actinomycetes; Kitasatosporales; Streptomycetaceae.